Molecule: long non-coding RNA, 587 nt
Organism: Aplysia californica (California sea hare)
Lineage: Eukaryota; Metazoa; Mollusca; Gastropoda; Aplysiida; Aplysiidae
Exons: 2
Source: RefSeq, a predicted model, not a curated record
CACUCUGACCAUCUGUUCCACGACACCUUGCUGCGUUAUGCACUGACGAUUAUUUCAAUUCGGAGGAGAAACGUUCCCCCUCCUCGCUAUGGCGGACUCACUCGAGUAGAACUGCCGUGUGGUGCACGGGCCACAGGGGCAAGAGUUAUCUGAAAAGCAAAAAAGACGAACAAUGAGGUAUGUCAUAUUCUCCACACACGACACACCCUGCUGAAUAUAGUAGAAAAAUACAAUACUCUGACCACUUAAAACGACACGAGACCAUUGGGAAAGAGGUGCUUGACGGAAUGGUGUGGGACAGGAGAGCCAGGCGAAGGGAAGGAGUAACAUGGAUGGACAACAUAUAAAAGACGGUGUCUGGCAUGGAUGUUAUAGAAGGUGCAGCGGCAGCUCGCGACCGUGAAAGAUGUAGGGUCAUAAUACGUCAGCCUAUGAGUCAGAGAUGACACCUCCAGGUAUCCAGGUAUCCAGGUAUCCAGGUAUUAUGAACAAUGUACAUUUCGGGACGUCUGAUUUUUCCCCUUCUUGUUACCUGUGUACCGGUACGCUGUGGUCCAUGUCAAAGGAAUAAAAGCAGUGCUACAUCA